RNAcentral lists this long non-coding RNA (1473 nucleotides) under Homo sapiens (human). RNAcentral describes it as "HSALNT0291495". The record is from RNAcentral. Lineage: Eukaryota; Metazoa; Chordata; Mammalia; Primates; Hominidae.
GGAGCUGUGAGCUGGGGGGACUUUCAGAGUCGCUCUGCAUUAAGAUGGAAAAAAGAAGCUUGGAGAAGGGGAAAUGACUUUACCCAGCUAAGAAUAUGGCAAAGCUGAGCCAACUAGUCAAGUUUUCUGACCCCAAAUCCUGUAUUUCCCAUGACUCAUCUUGUGGAAGGCUGAGAUGCGGAAAUUGAGACUCAAAGAGGUUGAGCAGCAAUUCCGUGAGCUGAAACUUAAGCCCAGAUGCAUGUGAUUCCAGAGGCAGGCCCAGGCCCACUCGCCUCCUGUGAGUAUCAGGGAAGUCCAGUGCUGUCUGCUGCUGGCCUGUGAUGGAUGAAUUGGCCCUCUUGGACUUGGUCCAGUGCUUUCAAACUCGACUUUGUCCCUCCAUCCAUAUGUUCAGGCUUUUUUCCCUCCUCCCCACAGCCUGGGCAUGGCAGGUGAAGGAGCCUCCUCCUCUACUUUCUCUGCUUCUCAAAUGUUCUAAGACUUGGGAGAAGCCCAAAGACCUCCAGGCUCUUCACUCAUUCAUUCAACAGAUACCUUCUGAGCAUCUGGUAUGUUCUGGAUUUUGUCGUAGGGGUUGUGAACACAGCAGGCCAGGUUGUUGUCCGCAUGGAGGUUAUCAUGAACAAAUGCAUCAACGAGAAGAUUGUAGGGAAUGGCAUGAGCUUUGAUGUUACUAAAACAAGUUGGUGUCAUUGGAAGUGACUGGGGGAUGCGAGAGGGGCUGUUUUGCUAGCAUGUAGGGAAAUCCACUCCAUAGAGGGGAUGUUCGAACCGAGAUUUAAAUGAAAAGAAGCCACUCAGAGGAAGAUCUAGAAGAAGAAUAUUCCACACCAAGAGAGCGACAAGUGCAAAGUUCUCAAGGUUGGAAUGGACUUUACCAACUCAAGGAAGAGAAACGAGGCUGGAGCUUGGAGAGCAGGGGCAGAGGUCUGCUUCAGGGGACCCCCAAUCUAAGACAGAUAUCCCCAAUUUCACAUGAAGAGACUGAGGCAGCUGGAGGCAAAGCAGCUUGUACAAGACCCCACAAGAAGAGGAGGAGUUGCUUUCUUGAACUGCUGUGGUUUUACCCACAGUCACCGGACCGUGCUGCCGCCCUGGUGGGAGGAUGUGUCUGCCUGCACAGCAUUCCCACAGCAACCAGCACAGCCCUUGUGUGGUGGAGGUGCCGGGCAUACUGAGAUGCAUCUGUCAGCAUCUGCCUCCUGGUACCUUGGGCCUGCAUGUCUGGCAGGCAGGUAGAAGAACACGCUGGCCAUUUCAAUGUUAAGACAAAGAGGUAGAGAAGGCUGGAUGAAGGAGGUGAUGACUGAACCAUAUCCUGAGGCAGCUGGGGUUUCCAGGAAGAGGACAGAGAGAAGGACAUUCAGGUGGAGGAGCCAGCAGAUGUGACAACCAGUGCACAGAGAGAUUAACUAACUUGCCGUCCAGUGGGCAUGUGGUGGAGCCCAGGGUGAAACCCAGGCAGUCUCU